This 1005-nucleotide long non-coding RNA is filed under the name Equus caballus (horse). RNAcentral's name for it is "lncRNA (ENSECAG00000047155.1)". The record is from RNAcentral. Lineage: Eukaryota; Metazoa; Chordata; Mammalia; Perissodactyla; Equidae.
GCAAGAGCUUUCACAGCGGGAUCCUUCAGCUUCGAGUUGGUUCCAUCCUGUGCUUGGGAGCUCGUUACCUCCCGGCAUGUAGAUACCAUUCAUCAGCAGCAGUAGUAAUAUCGAUUACUAUUUAAAAAAUAAUCGCUGCUAUUUAUCCAGCACCUGCUCUUUGCCCAGCGGUCUGCUAAAUGCCUUACCUGCAUUAUUUCACUGAAUCUUCACCCUCGACCUAAGAGGUGAAGUAUUGUUUUCUCCCCCAUGAACAGACGUGGAGACCUGUGUCCCCACCUUCCUUUCCUCCCAGCCACCUGGGCGUCUGUGGCUUCCAAGGCCUUCUGCUGUCUUUUGGGAAACCUCUCCUUUUUAAAUUUCAGUUCACCUGGUUGUCUUGGGGCUCACCCCAUCCUCCUUUUCCAGGGAGGGGCACAUGAUCCAGGCCCAAGCAACCAGAGCAUUCCAGUUCUUCUGUCCUCUGAUGACAGUGAUUGGUUCAGAGGCACAGACCGGGAUGGGAACCUGGGCGCCGAGGCUGCCUUCCCCGGCAGGGCCACAUUCCACAGUCAUCACCGGCUGAUGCCUCCCGACCGUGAACAUUCAGUUUCCUCUGCUGGAAUCCCUUUCCCACGCUUCUCCACCCGGCGGAUGUUUCUCCAUCCUUCCGGGUCCAACUCCACCGUCCCCUCCGUUGAGUUCCCCCUAAACCCUCGGGGGAUAGGAACAAACACUCCCGGUUUCUGGAUGAAGAAACUGAAGCUCAGCGAGGACAAGCGACUCAUGGAAGGAAUCAGAGCCAGGGAGUGGGCAGAGUCAGGAUUUGGACUGAGGACCUCACCGCAGCCUGGCUCAUCUGGUUGUGUUGAGUGUUAUCUCAGCUUGGUCGGUUUUUAUUUUAUAACAUUCUCAACAGAGGCACACGUGUAUGUAAUUUAUGAAUAAAAAAUAAACUCCAUAUGCAGAGUGGCCACAGAGUCUUGUGUGGCACUGUGGUCUCUCUCAAUUAAAUAGCUUCUUCAG